This 445-nucleotide ribosomal RNA is filed under the name Phoberus nama. Its description in RNAcentral is "partial 16S ribosomal RNA". The stretch from base 1 to 162 matches the Rfam family "Archaeal large subunit ribosomal RNA", at positions 1898 to 2104 of the family's 2987-position model. The record is from RNAcentral. Lineage: Eukaryota; Metazoa; Arthropoda; Insecta; Coleoptera; Trogidae.
AACAAAAACAUGUCUUUUUGAUUAUAAUUUAAAGUCUAGCCUGCCCAAUGAUUAUUGAUUGAAUGGCCGCGGUAUUUUGACCGUGCUAAGGUAGCAUAAUAAUUAGUUUUUUAAUUGAGAACUGGUAUGAAUGGCUGGACAAAGAAAAUUCUGUCUCAAGCUUAAUUUAAUUAGAAUUUUAUUUUUAAGUAAAAAAGCUUAAAUAAUUUUAAAAGACGAGAAGACCCUAUAGAGUUUUAUAUUAUUUUUUAUAAAUGAUUUAAGGAAUUAUAUAUUUUAUAUAUUAAAUAGUAUUUUGUUGGGGUGACAAAAAAAUUAAAUGAACUUUUUUUAUAUUUUAUCAUUGAUUUAUGAUUAAGUGAUCCAUUUUUUAUGAUUAUAAGAUUAAAUUACCUUAGGGAUAACAGCGUAAUUUUUUUUGAGAGUUCAUAUCGAAAGAAAAGUU